AUGUGUAUUCCAAAGAAAGAUGGUGGAAUGGGGUUCCGUCACAUUCAUUGCUUUAAUCUGGCUCUGCUGGUGAAACAAGCAUGGCAUUUGUUGGACGACCCUAAGUCCUUAUGUGCAACAAUACUUAGAGCCAAGUAUUACCCUGAUGGUGAUUUGUUGAGUUCACCCUUGAACAAGAAAUCCUCAUACACUUGGCAAAGUAUUAUGGAGGGGGUCAAAACUCUAAAACUCGGGCACAUAUGGCGAAUUGGAGAUGGACACGAAGUAAACAUUUGGUCGAAUGCUUGGAUUCCUCAAUCACCCUCUAGGCUACCGAUUAUUCCAAGAGGUAAUAAUCUGCUGUCCAAGGUUCAAGACUUGAUUGAUCCUACAACAGGCCAUUGGGACGCGAUGCUGGUGGAGCAAACCUUUUGGCCGGUUGACGUUCAUCGGAUACUAACCAUUCCACUACCAUCCUUUGACAUGCCUAAUUUUGUUGCUUGGCACCCUUCAAAACAUGGCAUCUUUUCAGUCAAACCGACCUAUCUAGAGGUGUGGCGGAGUCACUAUGAACAUAAAGCCCCAAGGAGAAACUCCCUGAGCGCUGCUGCACCCAAUCCAAUUUGGGAAUUUUUGCGGAAACUGCCCUGCCCUACUAAGGUGAGGAUCUUCCUAUUGAGAAUGCUACAUGGCACUCUUCCCUGUCGAGUCGGUCUCGCGGAUAGGCAUCUAAAAAUUAUGACAAAACGCCCGGCGUGUGAAAAUGCUGAAAGUAUGAAGCACAUGUUGUUCUGA
Molecule: ribosomal RNA, 774 nt
Filed under: Triticum aestivum (bread wheat)
Lineage: Eukaryota; Viridiplantae; Streptophyta; Magnoliopsida; Poales; Poaceae
Description: partial small subunit ribosomal RNA
Source: RNAcentral